UCGACGAGGUCGCAAGACCUAGUGGCGGACGGGUGAGUAACACGUGACCAACCAACCUCGAAGUUGGGAAUAGCUCUGCGAAAGCAGGGGUAAUACCGAAUGUGGCCCGGCGCGGACAUCCGCACCGGUCUAAAGAUUUAUCGCUUCGAGACGGGGUCGCGGCCUAUUAGCUUGUUGGUGGGGUAACGGCCUACCAAGGCGAUGAUGGGUAGCUGGUCUGAGAGGACGACCAGCCACACUGGGACUGAGACACGGCCCAGACUCCUACGGGAGGCAGCAGUGAGGAAUCUUCCGCAAUGGGCGAAAGCCUGACGGAGCAACGCCGCGUGUGGGAUGAAGACUCUAGGGUUGUAAACCACUGUCGGAGGGGACGAUCGUGACGGUACCCUCCAAGAAAGCCCCGGCUAACUACGUGCCAGCAGCCGCGGUAAUACGUAGGGGGCGAGCGUUAUCCGGAUUUACUGGGCGUAAAGCGCGUUAAGGCGGAUGGCCAAGUUGGCGGUGAAAUUUCGGGGCUCAACCCCGAAACUGCCGCCAAAACUAGUCGUCUAGAGUAUGGGAGAGGAAGGUGGAAUUCCGGGUGUAGUAGUGAAAUGCGUAGAUAUCCGGAGGAACACCAGCGGCGAAGGCGGCCUUCUGGCCCAUAACUGACGCUGUAGCGCGAAAGCGUGGGGAGCGAACGGGAUUAGAUACCCCGGUAGUCCACGCCCUAAACUUUGUGCACUACGUGUUGGGUGUAUUGACGCGCUC
Molecule: ribosomal RNA, 750 nt
Filed under: uncultured bacterium
Lineage: Bacteria
Description: bacterial SSU rRNA
Rfam family: Bacterial small subunit ribosomal RNA
Source: RNAcentral